GGAGACAAAAAAACUUUCGAAGGUUUUUGAGAAACAAGGCUUUCGAUCGUUUCCUUUUCGCCUGGAGAGCUUCAGUCCACAUUUUGAGGAAGUCGCCAUAUGCUACGCCAUUCUUCGAUCAAAGAGGCACUGGCUCUUCUUAGCAAUCGUUUCCAUGCCCUAGAUAUUCCCAGUUCUUAGGGUUUAUCGAGGCGAUGGGAUCGCCCGCCUUGUUCCUGCUGCUCGUCAUCGCGGCGAUCGGAGCUUGCGAUGGCUACUUUUUAGGAGAAUACGUGCCGCUGGCGCGCAGGGGACAGUACCACAACAUGCGAACGCCCUGGCACGAUUACUUGGGGCGUCAUUGCCCUCGAUUUGGGAUCGACAGAGAGGUUGUUGUCCCAAUUCCAAAGCCUGUUGGCUACAGCGGCGCCGACCCCUACAAAAUAUCUUUGCAAUUUGGGCACGAGAGGAUUACCACCCCAUGGCUGUUUAUCGUGGGCCGACAGUCCAGCAAAAUGCCUAUGAUUGACGUGACUCUGAGGUACACAGGUGGUGAUUUGGAAGGCGUUUCUGCCAAAGUCGUCGAGAUGCCUGAGGAUUAUGCCGCCGAACACGAAGGGACGUUCAAAGAGUUUUGGGAUCCUUCGCAGUGGCCAAAACACGUACUAGUUCGAUAUAAUUGGGAAGAGAAGUCAGAGAUUGACGUUGCAACAGGUUUCUACAUAUUGUUUGGAUCUGCUUUUCUAUUAACCUUGGUUAUGUCCAUUUAUAUUCUGCAAUCGUCCAAGGAUAAGCUAUCCAGGUUUGUCAGAGAAAACGUGAUUGACACGGGUAUAACAAUGGAAGAACUCCAAAAAGCGGAAUGAAAAAAUUAUACAGGCCUCGAUUUCUUUCUAGACUCUUGGGAUCACUAAUAUAUGUGUUGGAAUGGAAUCAUCUGCAGUAGAGAUUGCCACGCAAAUCGAAAGGGAAAGGAGCACGUUGCUCGUAGCACUGAGAGAAAAGGUUGCUCAACAAGAAUUGGUUUCACUAAAUUUUGGAGGGAGUUACUGGUGUAAGUAAAUGCUCGGUCCAGUCUGUCGAUGGUGAUGUUGGCUUCGAUUCUUUGGUUGGUUUUCUAGUUUUUUUUAUUUUUUUUUAUUUUUUAUAUUUUCUUGUCGUACUUCGGUUUUUCUUCAGAAGCAACCCGGAUAAAUUUCUAGUGUGUUA
This is an RNA transcript of Selaginella moellendorffii, 1188 nucleotides long. RefSeq lists it as uncharacterized. The transcript has 10 exons. Lineage: Eukaryota; Viridiplantae; Streptophyta; Lycopodiopsida; Selaginellales; Selaginellaceae. The record is from RefSeq and is a predicted model, not a curated record.